Ostrea edulis (European flat oyster) is the source of this 873-nucleotide long non-coding RNA. RefSeq lists it as uncharacterized. The record is from RefSeq and is a predicted model, not a curated record. The transcript has 2 exons. Lineage: Eukaryota; Metazoa; Mollusca; Bivalvia; Ostreida; Ostreidae.
AUACACAUAGAAUGAAAAUAUUACAGUAUUCUUAUAGUCGCCACACAAUUACAUACACAUAGAAUGAAAAUAUUACAGUAUUCUUAUAGUCGCCACACAAUUACAUACACAUAGUGAAAGUAUUACAGUAUUCUUAUAGUCACCACACAAUUACAUACACAUAGAAUGAAAGUAUUACAGUAUUCUUAUAGUCACCACACAAUUACAUACACAUAGAAUGAAAGUAUUACAGUAUUCUUAUAGUCACCACACAAUUACAUACACAUAGAAUGAAAUAUUACAAUAUUCUUAGUCACCACACAAUUACAUACACAUAGAAUGAAAAUAUUACAGUAUUCUUAUAGUCACCACACAAUACGCCGGUUUCGAGAUACACCCGAGUUAUUUCCCUUUGGAGAACUCUCUUACAUAGUGAGACGCGAAACAAUUUGUUUACACGCUGGAGUGGGACUAAUAUUCAUAACUGCGUAAGUGAAUGUACUCAGUAAGUUUCUCGUACACUGUUAGAUUACCCGAAUUCGACUGAUACACAAACUAAGUCAGAGUUGUGAAAAGAAAAACCAGAUAGGAUGCCAGUAUUACCAAGAUGGGAGAAAAGGACAAACAUAUUUUCUAAUUAACAUCUUUGUGAUAAAUUUUGUAUUUGAUGCACAUAUAGUAUGCUUUGGCAUUUUGAAGCAAAGGGAAUUUAACAUUUGACAUUGCUAUCAUUGCUAUCAUUUGAAAUUAAAUGUGAUCUUCAUUAUUGUUAUUACACAUGAUCAUUCCUUUUUUAUAACUAUUGAACAUUUUUGUUGAUUUACCUCUUUAGUUUUCUAUAGAUUGAAUAUAUUAUUAGUCUCCUACCGACGAAGUCGAAGGGGACUAGGUUUG